UCCAUUUGUGGAGCACCUUGAGGCGCGCAGACCCAACGCCACUCUCAUGGAAUUCCAGUCGUUUUCUUCAGCUCCCUUAUCCAACCCUCUCACGUCUCUCGGUUGUUUCUUCUUGCAUUUCUUUACGCAAACCCCCAGUUGUUUUAUAGAGCUCAGGUGCUCGAUCGCCCUGCUUCUCUUCCACCGAGAGAACUACUGUUUGAUGGCUACAGCUCUGGUUUCUCGGGGCUUAAGCUGCAGCUACUCGGGCACUUCAGAACAUGGGCGGACAUCAAAUGAUCUGAGCUUCUCCUGUUCCAUUUCCAGUCUGCAACUAUUGAAGUGUGAUGCACUGUCAUCAAAGUUUUCGCGCUCGAUAAAGAUUUUUAGAAGCGAGGUGCGGAAGCAAGAAUCUGAUAAGCUUGGCAUUAAUGGCCGGUCUAACAAAAUGGUAUCAACGAAGAAAUUAGCGGAAAUCAAGUCCACUUUCACUGAGAAAAUUGGAACAGCCAGUGUCAGCGCUGCUGUGAAUGGCUCAAAAGGGGUGGUCAAUAAUGGUGCUGGCUUGGUUAAAAUGAAUGGAGUAUUAGAUAUUGCUAAAACACCUAAAAAGAAGGUGGCUGAUGAUCUCUCCUCUGGGGAUGAGCUAAAAGUUUUCGCUUCAGAUGAGGGUUUCAGCUGGGCCAAUGAAAACUAUAAUGGUUGGCAAAGGACAAUUGACAUUUGGUCUUUUGUUAUUUCUCUACGCAUUCGGGUUCUCUUUGAUAAUGCAAAAUGGGCAUAUCUUGAUGGAAUUACAGAAAAUAAGCAGAAAAAAAGGCGCCAAAAGACAGCUGCAUGGUGUAGAGAGAGAGUUUUGCAACUUGGACCUACUUUUAUCAAGCUAGGCCAGUUGUCCUCAACAAGAUCUGAUUUGUUUCCUAAAGAGUUUGUUGAUGAACUUGCCAAGUUGCAGGAUAGAGUGCCGGCAUUCUCACCUAAAAAAGCGAAAACAUUCAUAGAAAAUGAGCUGGGUUUACCUGUUAAUGUAUUAUUCAAGAAGUUUGAAGAUAGGCCAAUAGCUGCAGCCAGUCUUGGUCAGGUGCAUCAGGCCAUCUUACAUACCGGAGAGAAUGUUAUAAUAAAAGUUCAGAGGCCCGGUCUCAAGAGGCUUUUUGACAUCGAUUUAAGGAACUUAAAACUAUUAGCUGAGUAUUUUCAGAAAAGCGAGACAUUUGGAGGACCCACAAGGGAUUGGAUUGGUAUCUAUGAGGAGUGUUCCAAAAUUCUAUUUCAAGAAAUCGACUAUGUAAAUGAAGGAAGGAAUGCUGAUAAGUUUCGUCGAGAUUUUCGAAAUGUAAAGUGGGUUCGCGUACCUAUUGUGCUUUGGGAUUAUACUUCUAUGAAGGUGUUGACGCUGGAAUAUGUUCCAGGAAUAAAGAUAAAUAACCUAAGCCAGAUUGAUGUUAGUGGAAUUAACCGUUCACUGAUUGCUUCACGCGCUAUAGAGGCUUAUUUGAUUCAGUUACUGAAGACUGGAUUUUUUCAUGCUGAUCCUCAUCCUGGCAACCUUGCUAUUGACAAGGAUGGAUCACUUAUCUAUUAUGAUUUUGGAAUGAUGGGUGAAAUAAAAUCCUUCACUCGAGAGAGGUUGCUCGACUUGUUUUACUCAGUAUAUGAAAAGGAUGCAAACAAGGUUAUGAGAAACCUUAUUGAGAUUGAGGCGCUUAAGCCAACAGGAGACAUGUCAUCGGUGAGGCGGUCCAUACAGUUUUUCUUGGAUAAUCUGUUAAGCCAGUCACCUGAUCAGCAACAAACUUUGGCUGCAAUUGGUGAGGAUUUGUUUGCAAUAGCAACAGACCAACCUUUCCGGUUCCCUGCAACAUUUACUUUUGUCUUAAGAGCAUUUUCAACUCUUGAAGGUAUUGGAUAUACACUUGAUCCAGAAUUCUCAUUUGUCAAAGUGGCUGCGCCUUAUGCCAAAGAACUACUGGACAUUAGACAAAAGCAACCAACUGGAGCAGAGCUCGUUAAUCAGAUAAGAAGACAAGCAAACGAUGCUAGGGAUUACACUAUUUCAAUGCCAUAUAGAAUCCAGAAGGUUGAAGAGUUCGUGAAGCAACUCGAGUCGGGAGAUUUGAAACUUAGAGUCAGAGUGCUCGAGUCUGAAAGAGCUGCUCGGAAAGCCACUAUACUUCAGAUGGCCACUAUUUACACAGCUUUGGGUGGAACUCUAUUCAAUGUUGGGGUUAACUUGAGCGGGCAAGGAAAUGACGCUUUUGCUAAUGGAGCUUUCAUUGGUGCUGGAUUGUAAUCUUCUGUUUGAGGGGCAUAACUUGUUAAGGCACCAACUUGAUCGUACUGAACUUCUGGUUCUUGCUCACCAUGUGCAGUCCAAUUUCAAUAAUUUGGUUUAAAUCUCUUGAGCCCUUUAGAAUCACAAGAGAACACUUCAGAGGAAGGUUACUGGAUAGAUGCUUUUAUGAACGGCAGCGGGGAGUACUAUGGGGAGGAGCAGCGGGAGCUCACCAGAAAAUGCAUCGAAAUGACUAGUAGUAUGCUAAUCAAGCCGGCUUGUAAACCAU
Phalaenopsis equestris is the source of this 2543-nucleotide RNA transcript. RefSeq lists it as uncharacterized. The record is from RefSeq and is a predicted model, not a curated record. Lineage: Eukaryota; Viridiplantae; Streptophyta; Magnoliopsida; Asparagales; Orchidaceae. The transcript has 19 exons.